RNAcentral lists this ribosomal RNA (188 nucleotides) under uncultured bacterium. Its description in RNAcentral is "partial 16S rRNA". It matches the Rfam family "Bacterial small subunit ribosomal RNA", at positions 338 to 522 of the family's 1533-position model. The record is from RNAcentral.
CCUACGGGGGGCGGCAGUGAGGAAUAUUGGUCAAUGGGCGCAAGCCUGAACCAGCCAUCCCGCGUGCAGGAAGACGGCGCUAUGCGUUGUAAACUGCUUUUCCAGGGGGAGAAACUUGCGCACGUGUUGCGCAAUUGACGGUACCCUGGGAAUAAGCAUCGGCUAACUCCGUGCCAGCAGCCCCGGUC